UACGUAGGGUGCAAGCGUUGUCCGGAAUUAUUGGGCGUAAAGAGCCCGUAGGCGGUCUGUCGCGUCUGCUGUGAAAACUCAGGGCUUAACCCUGAGCUUGCAGUGGGUACGGGCAGACUAGAGUGCGGUAGGGGAGACUGGAAUUCCUGGUGUAGCGGUGAAAUGCGCAGAUAUCAGGAGGAACACCGGUGGCGAAGGCGGGUCUCUGGGCCGUAACUGACGCUGAGGAGCGAAAGCGUGGGGAGCGAACAGG
This 253-nucleotide ribosomal RNA is filed under the name uncultured bacterium. RNAcentral's name for it is "partial 16S ribosomal RNA". It matches the Rfam family "Bacterial small subunit ribosomal RNA", at positions 524 to 776 of the family's 1533-position model. The record is from RNAcentral.